CUUAAAUACCACUUCCUGAUUCCAUUCCUUCUUCCACCUCCAGGAGGCAACCACUCCUAAACUCUGUACCAAUCUUUAUACUGAGAAAAUUAAUUGUUUAGUUUUGCCUUUUUUGAAUCUAAUAUAAACAAAAUGACGGGGAUGAAUUCUUUGGCAACGUGUUUCCUCCUCUUAGUCUCAUGUUUGUGAGAUUCAUCUAUGUUGACGUGUAUGGCUGAAGUUCAUUAACUUUUAUCACUGUGUAAUAGUCUAUCGUAUGAGCAUAUCCCAGUUUAUUUAUCCAAUCUAUUGUUGACCCUCAUUUGUGUUGCUUCCACUUUUAGCCAUUUUGAAUAAAGCUGCUGUGAACAUUCUUGAGACAGCUCCUGGCGCACAUGUUCAAGAAGAAAGCAUCAACUGGAGAGACUUCCACCCAUGUUGACUCCUGGGCAGAACGUUCACUCAGCAGACGGUAUAGUCCAGCUCAAGACACCCUGGUGGCUCUUGUCUGGUACGCAGCAUACAGAGGCUCUUCUGCAGGCCGCAGGGAAGUUCCUCUAGAACAAUAAAGCACAGUACGAUACUGCUGAACAAGCGUUAUCACCCCUGGAGAAGUCAAGAAACAUGAGAGCUCCACAUAUCAAUUGCUCUAAGCUGCAAAGGUCCUACCAUGGGCCCUGUACUCAUUGGGAAGGAACAGUGGGGUGGCAAGGUAUUUAUGUCAACUGGGUCACGGUCAGUCACAGGAAAACAGAAUCCAGGGCUGGACCCAGCUUUGACUCGAGAUUGGGAGCUGGUACAUUUACACCAAAAACACAGUGAACUCUACAAUCUACCGUGUCCUGUGCCAGAGGAAGAACACAGCCAACCAUUGCUCCAGGAAUCUGGAAGAUGGAGAAUUGGACCAUCAGAGGCCAGGGUGAUCAAGAAAGUCUUUGUGAUGUGGGUGAGAGUAUCUUGAAACUGUAGAACUGAAUGGAAAUUUGUUAACUGAAUAUUUGAUUUUCUUUAGGAACAUGUCUUAAGAAAAUAGUCCCUAUUUUCACUGGAAUGAGCAUCUAUGCUUUUUUUCUCAGAUCGUCUGAAUUCUUUCUCAAAGAUCUCUAUAGGACAAUGUUCUGAUGCCCUCUGGCGCUAACAGUUUCCUAACACAAAUACUGAGUCACUACUAUUUGUAUUCUCAGAGCCUAACCUACUG
Molecule: long non-coding RNA, 1177 nt
Filed under: Equus caballus (horse)
Lineage: Eukaryota; Metazoa; Chordata; Mammalia; Perissodactyla; Equidae
Description: lncRNA (ENSECAG00000059520.1)
Source: RNAcentral